Taeniopygia guttata (zebra finch) is the source of this 4013-nucleotide non-coding RNA. NCBI's taxonomy places the organism in Eukaryota, Metazoa, Chordata, Aves, Passeriformes, Estrildidae. The record is from RefSeq and is a predicted model, not a curated record.
GCCCUGCCGUGAGGUGCAGCCCGUGCCGAGCCCUCAGCGAGCGGGCAGAGCCGCCCUCCGCAGCCCGGCCCGGCCCCGCCGUGAGGCGCAGCCCGUGCCAAGCCCUCAGCGAGCGGGCAGAGCCGCCCUCCGCAGCACGGCCCGGCCCGGCCCGGCCCUGCCGUGAGGUGCAGCCCGUGCCGAGCCCUCAGCGAGCGGGCAGAGCCGUCCUCCGCAGCACGGCCCGGCCCGGCCGUGAGGUGCAGCCCGUGCCGAGCCCUCAGCGAGCGGGCAGAGCCGUCCUCCGCAGCACGGCCCGGCCCCGCCGUGAGGUGCAGCCCGUGCCGAGCCCUCAGCGAGCGGGCAGAGCCACCGCGCCCCGCGGGGGCUCCGGGGAAUCGGACUUGUCGGCGUUGGAAGGGAGCUUUGAGGUGAUACCGAGCCCAGGCGUGCACCCAGCGCUGCCCAUGGAAGCAGCGCCUUUCAAACACCGACUCCAACAGCUCCCUGGGCAGCCUGUUCCAACGCCUGAGCAUCCUGAUGGUGUUUUUUGGUGGUUUUGGGGUUUGUUUUGUUUUAAUAUCUAAUCUGAACUGCCGUCUCAGCCGGGCCAUUUCCUCUUCUCCUCCCAUGGGAAGAGACCGAGCCCACCUGGCUGCACCCUCCUGUCGGGUGGGUGAUAGCGAUGAGCUCUUCCCUGAGCCUCCUCUUCUCCUGGCUAAACACCUCCAGCUCCUCACGCCUUUUACAGACCCUUCAUGAGCCUUGCUGCCGUUCCUGGACACACUCCAGCACCUCAAUGUCCUUUUUUAAAGAGGGGGGCCCAGAACUGAACGCACACUCAAGGUGCAGCCUCACCAACGCUGAGUACAAAGGGACAAUCACUUCCCAAUAAUUCCAGAUUAACAGCACUUCUCAUUCUCCAUGAGUAAUGUGUUUCUCAAUGUGCCUCAGCUUGGCGCCUGGUGUGAUUCUGGGGCUGCCCUGUGCAUGAGGAGACCUCUUUAAUGCGUAUAAAUAUCUAAAGGGGAGAUGCCAAGAUGCUCUUAGUGGUGCCAGCCACUGGGAGGAGAUACAUGGGAGGUCCCACCUGAAUAGAAGAAGUUUACUGUGCAGUGAUCAAGCACUGGAACAGAUUGCCCAGAGAGGCUGUGGAAUCACCCUGGGCAGAUAUCCCAGACCCGCCUGGAUACAAAGCAAGGCCGUGUUCUGAAAUGGCCCAGUUUGAGCAGGGAGGUGGGAGCAGAUGACCCUCUGUGCUCCCUUCCAACCCCACCCGUUCUGUUAUUCUGUGCAGGGCCACGAGUUGGAUUUGGAUGAUCCUUGUGGAUCCAUUCCAGCUCAGGAUAUUCCAUAAUUCUGUAAACUUCUGGCUUUCCUCUUAACAUGGGUGACCAUUUUGCCCACGUGUCCCUGUAAAGUGACAGUGCUCAGUGCCUGCCCGUGGCCUGCUGGGUUCCUUAGUCCUUAGAACCUCCAAGGCUGGCAGGAUCACACCUGGAAGAGGAGCAGAUGUUUGGAAUUGGCUGGAUAACAAUGCCAACUGGAAUGUUUUCAUCCAGACAGCAGUGAAUUCCCUCCAGGAUGACAACAGGGUGCCUCAGCCCACCAAAGACUCCUGUGGUUGGUGCUCCUCCACUGCCUGUCCCCUCUGCCACCCUCCCAAAUGUGUACCCAGGCAUCCCAAAGGCCAGGAAUCUGUCUCCCUAACCAUGACAGAGCAUGCCUGUGCAUCAGACACGUCUGUGAAACUCAGCAAAAUUCCUGCAAGGAGCAGCCGACUUUUGGAAUCUUCUUGCAAGGAGAGAUCUUCCAAUCCCUUCAUCAUCUUCAUGACCCUUCAAUGGACUCUCACCAGCAGCUCCUGUACUGGGGAGCCCAGAACUGGACACAGCACUCAGGUGCAGCCUCAUCUGAGCAGAGGGGAAGCAUCCCCCUAACCCAACACUUGUCCCAGAGCAGCCCAGGAUGCCAUUAGCCCUCUGCUAAUGAAGAACCAGAACCUCACAGCCUUCCCUGUGCAUUCCAGAAGUCCCAGCAUGUACUGGCACGUGGGAUCAUUCUUCAGGACUUUGCAAUUCCCUUUGCUGAACAUCAAAACAUUUCUGUCAGCCCAUUUCUCCCUCCUGCAGAUCUUCAUGAAGGUGUCAGAUGGGCUGGACCUAGUCACAGAGUUACUGUCUUCCACCAAACCUCACAGCACUGAUCACCACAGUCUGGGACCAGUCUUUCAGCCAGUUUUCCAUCUACCUCUGGGUUUAUCCAGUCCAUGCACCACCACUACGAGGAGGUUUCAGGAGAUCCUAUCAAAUACCUGACUCAAGCCAAGGCACACAACACGCCCUGCUCUUCCCUCACCCACCCAGGCAGUUGUUCCUUCAGAGGGUUAUCAGCUUAAGCCCGACUUCCCCUUUUUGCAUCCAUGCUGACAUCAAGUGUUUUGCCACCAACUGAUUUAUCCCUUUGCCAACAGCAGUCCCCCCUUGCCUGACACCCCACUGGUGCUAAUGCCACCCUGCCUGGGAGGUCUUUUGACAACUGUCAUUUAUUCAAGACACUGGGAAAGGCUGAACCUGUCCACCUCUGCUAUUCUGAGAGCAGAGGGGUUCCGCAACAGCACCCCAAGCCACGAGUGCACCAGGACUUGCUGAGUGAGUGUGACAGAUUGAUGUCUUGAGACAUUUUGGGGUGCAUGCAUGUGGGGAAAGGGGCAGGUCAGGCCUUGCCCUGGGAGGUAAUGCCCUGCUCUGCACAUCCCCAAUCCCCAGAGCCUGUAUCCCAGCCCUGCAGUGGCUGCCAAUCCCUGGCACAGCAGAGGCAAUGCUCCACACCUGCCCCUGGAGCCCCAGCCAAGGUCCCCAGUGGGCAAAUGACUGGAAAACUCACCUGGGUCAAUGGCCCAGGAAGGCUAAGGAGUACCUAAAGCUGAACUGGAGGUGAGCACAGAUCUUGACCCUAUAUCCUCUUGGAGUUUUCAUCACUUGAAACACCUCUGGAACACAGGAGAGGGUAGCUAUACAUGUCCUUUUCUCUAUAUUUUCUUGCUUUCUUCUUUAAUUCCCUCCUCUUGGAAGUCAUGAUCAAUUUAAAAUGGAAUGGGCUUAAAAGUUUGCCAAGUUGAAUGGGCCAAUUUAAUGCUCCAAGUGUUUUAUGUCUAGUGUGUGCUACUCUAAACCUUUAGCCAAAGUUCUCAGAUUUUCUAAAUUUGCCAGCAAGGUCUUUUUGGUUGUUUUGACCUCUUGAGAGUACCUUGUCAGUAUUUCUGCUGUGCUCUAACACAGAGCACAUCAACAACCACCAGCUCUUUUAAAAGCCUUGUCAGGUGAGUUUUUUGGGGCCUUACGGUGCAGGGGACCAGCCAAAAGCCAGAGAUGCUGCCUCCUCCUUCACCAAGGGGCUGAUCUGUUCCAGCAGCUUUGCUCCAGGUCUGGCUUAGACUUGCAGAACUAAGACAAGGUUGGCCAAAUCUGCCAACUGGGACUGCAGUCAGCACCGUGCAGCACCAAAUAGGAGACAACACCAGCAUCCAUUUAUUCUGUCUUUAUUCACCAGGGAGAGGAGGCCAGUGUUUUAUCUUGUCUUCUGCAUGAGGCCUGAGAAGCCUCACCAGUUCUGCAGAGCUUUGGUCCCUCUUACCUACACAGAAUCAGCCCUUGGUCGUGGCAAAGCUGAAGUGCCUGGAGGAGUGCAGGCACACAGGGAAAGGGAUAAAAGGCUGCCUCAUCACAGAGCAAGAAGGAAUGAGUCUGCCCCAGCAGCAGUCACUGGGGGAAGGUGUUUCCUUUCUUGUUCUCUCCAAGACCAAAGCUUGUCCCAGCUCACAUCAGGCUGGAGAGCAAUGGAGCAUGGUCCAUUGAACUCUUAAUCACAGAGCAAAACCAAUGCUCUGGAAAGAGUGAAAGAACCACGAGGGAGCAAGGCUAAGGGUGUCUGCUCCAAGCUUUGUGGGAUGCCUGUGAAAUUUUGGGUUUGGUAGGGCAAGUCAAGUCCUAGCAACACUGGCCAAAGGAUCUUGCUGGCUACCAUCCCACCAA